AAGACCAUACUUUCAGGGAUCAUUUCUACAGUUUGUUACUAGAGAAGUUUCUCUGAAUGUAUAGAGCAUCGGAAACCACGAAAAGGAAGUACAGUAUUUUGUCCUGAGCGUGAAGCUGGUUUUUGGUGUUGCAUUUGCAACUACUAUUAGCUAUUGAUGAUCAUUCUUUUCUCUCUUGGAGAGAGUGAGGAGAGAAUGCAGUCUGAUUGGU
Non-coding RNA from Pteropus alecto (black flying fox), 211 nucleotides. NCBI's taxonomy places the organism in Eukaryota, Metazoa, Chordata, Mammalia, Chiroptera, Pteropodidae. The record is from Rfam.